This 429-nucleotide ribosomal RNA is filed under the name uncultured prokaryote. Its description in RNAcentral is "bacterial SSU rRNA". It matches the Rfam family "Bacterial small subunit ribosomal RNA", at positions 355 to 796 of the family's 1533-position model. The record is from RNAcentral.
UGGGGAAUCUUGCGCAAUGGGCGAAAGCCUGACGCAGCGACGCCGCGUGAGGGAUGACGGCCUUCGGGUUGUAAACCUCUUUCAGCUCCGACGAAGCGUAAGUGACGGUAGGGGCAGAAGAAGCACCGGCCAACUACGUGCCAGCAGCCGCGGUAAUACGUAGGGUGCAAGCGUUGUCCGGAAUUAUUGGGCGUAAAGAGCUCGUAGGCGGUCUGUCGCGUCGGCUGUGAAAACUCGGGGCUCAACUCCGAGCUUGCAGUCGAUACGGGCAGGCUAGAGUUCGGCAGGGGAGACUGGAAUUCCUGGUGUAGCGGUGAAAUGCGCAGAUAUCAGGAGGAACACCGGUGGCGAAGGCGGGUCUCUGGGCCGAUACUGACGCUGAGGAGCGAAAGCGUGGGGAGCGAACAGGAUUAGAUACCCCCGUAGUCC